AAGGAACUUCAACAGAUGGCAGCAUCUGACUGACCUGCCUAGGUCUGGAGGCUGAUUAAUCCUUGGACAGGAGACCAAAUUCUCUUUGAUUUCUGAUUACAGAAAUCCACUGAUUACAGUGGAUUAAAGUGGCUCUCCUCCCACAAUGUCCUGAAUAUUAACUCUGGAAGCUGGUUGUCAAAUAUCAGGAUUACAUUUAAUCCAAAAAGGUAAGCAAGCUUAUGCAAAGUCUAGAAGAGAAAACAAAAAAUAGAAAACUUUAGAAAUUCAAGACAUGAAACAUGGUAAAAA
Long non-coding RNA from Thamnophis sirtalis, 291 nucleotides. RefSeq lists it as uncharacterized. The record is from RefSeq and is a predicted model, not a curated record. NCBI's taxonomy places the organism in Eukaryota, Metazoa, Chordata, Lepidosauria, Squamata, Natricidae.